RNAcentral lists this ribosomal RNA (440 nucleotides) under uncultured bacterium. RNAcentral's name for it is "partial 16S ribosomal RNA". It matches the Rfam family "Bacterial small subunit ribosomal RNA", at positions 338 to 795 of the family's 1533-position model. The record is from RNAcentral.
CCUACGUGUGGCUGCAGUGGGGAAUAUUGCACAAUGGGGGAAACCCUGAUGCAGCAACGCCGCGUGAGUGAUGACUGCCUUCGGGUUGUAAAGCUCUGUCUUCCGGGACGAUAAUGACGGUACCUGAGGAAGAAGCCCCGGCUAACUACGUGCCCGCAGCCGCGGUAAUACGUAAGUUGCGAGCGUUGUCCGGAUUUACUGGGCGGAAGGGGCGCGGAGGCGUACGUUUAAGUAGGAUGUGAAAUACUCGGGCUCAACUUGAGUGCUGCAUUUUACACUGGAAGUCAAGAGUGCAGGAGAGGAGAAUGGAACUCCUAGUGUAGCGGUGAAAUGCGUAGAGAUUAGGAAGAACACCAGUUGCGAAGGCGAUUCUCUGGACUGUAACUGACGCUGAGGCUCGAAAGCGUGUGGAGCAAACAGGAUUAGAUACCCUGGUAGUC